Molecule: ribosomal RNA, 429 nt
Filed under: bacterium
Lineage: Bacteria
Description: partial 16S ribosomal RNA
Rfam family: Bacterial small subunit ribosomal RNA
Source: RNAcentral
UGGGGAAUUUUGGACAAUGGGGGAAACCCUGAUCCAGCCAUGCCGCGUGCGGGAAGAAGGCCUUCGGGUUGUAAACCGCUUUUGUUCGGGAAGAAAAGGCUCCGUCCAAUAAACGGGGCUCUUGACGGUACCGGAAGAAUAAGCACCGGCUAACUACGUGCCAGCAGCCGCGGUAAUACGUAGGGUGCGAGCGUUAAUCGGAAUUACUGGGCGUAAAGCGUGCGUAGGCGGUCCGUUGUGUCUGCGGUGAAAUCCCCGGGCUUAACCUGGGACUGGCCGUGGAAACUGACGGGCUUGCGUGUGGCAGAGGGAGGUGGGAUUCCGCGUGUAGCAGUGAAAUGCGUAGGGAUGCGUAGGAACACCGAUGGCGAAGGCAACCCCCUGGGCUGACACUGACGCUCAGGCACGAAAGCGUGGGGAGCAAGCAGG